Molecule: long non-coding RNA, 484 nt
Organism: Marmota flaviventris (yellow-bellied marmot)
Lineage: Eukaryota; Metazoa; Chordata; Mammalia; Rodentia; Sciuridae
Source: RefSeq, a predicted model, not a curated record
CGGAGACGAGUGUCCUAUCAGCGGCGUGUCGGAGCCAGUGUCACCUGCAGGAGGACAAGGAGGCGAAAAAGGGCAGCAGCUGAUCAGCCUCCCAGGAGCACCCCCAUCGGCAGCAGGGGGAAGGCACUGCCUGGUGCAGCCGCCAGCUCGUCCUGUGGCAGCCACCUGCAAGGUCACCUGGAAGGCAGGCACCGCGGAGCAGCCAUACCUUUCUCCUUGAUGGUGAAGCUGUGCACUGGGCUCUCCAUGGGCAGCUUCCCAUUGGGGAUGCUGCUGUUCCUCUGUGGACAAGCACAGGGCCUUACAUUCGCAACCCGUGUUCAGGCCCAAGCCUGCCAGGACCGUCUCCCUCCGAGGAGGUUCCGAGGGUCUCCGCCCAGGGGCCAUUCGGUGCUGCUGCGCCCACUGACCCGGCCCGGGCGACCGACCUUCAUCCCAAGAUCCAUGGCCCUCCAGCCUUGGAUCGGACCCCCAGACACCCGUC